Molecule: ribosomal RNA, 464 nt
Filed under: uncultured bacterium
Lineage: Bacteria
Description: partial 16S ribosomal RNA
Rfam family: Bacterial small subunit ribosomal RNA
Source: RNAcentral
GACGAACGCUGGCGGCGUGCUUAACACAUGCAAGUCGAACGGAAAGGCCCCCUUGUGGGGUACUCGAGUGGCGAACGGGUGAGUAACACGUGAGUAACCUACCCUUGACUUUGGGAUAACUUCAGGAAACUGGGGCUAAUGCCGGAUAGGAGCUCCUGCUGCAUGGUGGGGGUUGGAAAGUUUCGGCGGUUGGGGAUGGACUCGCGGCUUAUCAGCUUGUUGGUGGGGUAGUGGCUCACCAAGGCUUUGACGGGUAGCCGGCCUGAGAGGGUGACCGGCCACAUUGGGACUGAGAUACGGCCCAGACUCCUACGGGAGGCAGCAGUGGGGAAUAUUGCACAAUGGGCGGAAGCCGGACGCAGCAACGCCGCGUGCGGGAUGACGGCCUUCGGGUUGUAAACCGCUUUCGCCUGUGACGAAGCGUGAGUGACGGUAAUGGGUAAAGAAGCACCGGCUAACUACGU